Molecule: long non-coding RNA, 261 nt
Filed under: Manihot esculenta (cassava)
Lineage: Eukaryota; Viridiplantae; Streptophyta; Magnoliopsida; Malpighiales; Euphorbiaceae
Description: long non-coding RNA (MESC_LNC005444)
Source: RNAcentral
GCUCCCUUGAACUAUCUGGGAAAGCCCAUCCUGCAAACUCGUUUGCAAACUCCUCCCAAGACAUGCUGUCUACUCUGGGGUUCACAUAAUUCUUGAACCACUCUCGUGCCUUCUUGCACUUAAGCGUGAACCCAGCCAUCUGAAUGGCUCUACUGUCAUCAACCCCAAUCUCAUCUGUGAUCACCUUAACCCUUUCAAGAUACACAAAUGGGUCAUCCCCUUUUUCAUACUGAGGAGAACCCAAUUUCAUGUAGUCGGUCA